AACGUAGGACACAAGCGUUAUCCGGAGUUACUGGGCGUAAAGGGCGCGUAGGCGGCCUUCUAAGUCAGACGUGAAAUCCCCCGGCUUAACCUGGGAACUGCGUCUGAUACUGGGAGGCUAGAGUGCGGGAGAGGGAUGCGGAAUUCCAGGUGUAGCGGUGAAAUGCGUAGAUAUCUGGAGGAACACCGGUGGCGAAGGCGGCAUCCUGGACCGACACUGACGCUGAGGCGCGAAAGCUAGGGUAGCAAACGGG
Molecule: ribosomal RNA, 253 nt
Filed under: uncultured bacterium
Lineage: Bacteria
Description: partial 16S ribosomal RNA
Rfam family: Bacterial small subunit ribosomal RNA
Source: RNAcentral